AUUGAUUUGUGGCAGGCAUCUAAGUUGAUCAGCAUAUCUGGUCAUGACUCUGUGAUAUCUCCUUCAUCUUUGAUAGUUUCAAUCUUGUUGAAGUGUUGGAUUUGAAAUCCUUCAAAAUUAUUGCCACAAGAGUUUGACAUCAGUUGAAACAACAAAGUACCUCACAUAAACUAGAGUUGCAUAGUUUCACCAAUGUUGAAGAACUGGAUGAGCAUAAUUUCAAAACAAUAGAGAAAUUCUGUUCUGUUUCACGCUUACCAGGAUCUGAUUGAUUUGUGGAAGCCAUCUCAGUUGAUCCGCAUAUCUGGUCAUGACUCUGUGAUAUCUCUUUGAUAUUUUAAUGUUUCAAUCUUGUUAAAGUGUUGGAUUUAAAAUCCUUCAAAAUUAAUGCUACUAGAGUUUGACAUCAGUUUAAACAACAAAGUGCCUCACAUAAACUAGAGUUGCGUAGUGUCACCAAUGUUG
RNAcentral lists this long non-coding RNA (465 nucleotides) under Nicotiana benthamiana. RNAcentral's name for it is "long non-coding RNA (NBEN_LNC019208)". Lineage: Eukaryota; Viridiplantae; Streptophyta; Magnoliopsida; Solanales; Solanaceae. The record is from RNAcentral.